GUGGGGAAUAUUGCGCAAUGGGGGAAACCCUGACGCAGCGACGCCGCGUGAGCGAAGAAGGCCUUAGGGUUGUAAAGCUCUGUUUUAAGGGACGAAUGUCGUGGGGAGUAAUAUGCUCUGCGAAUGACGGUACCUUAAGAGGAAGCCCCGGCUAACUACGUGCCAGCAGCCGCGGUAAGACGUAGGGGGCGAGCGUUGUCCGGAAUUACUGGGCGUAAAGAGCACGUAGGCGGGAACUUAAGUCAGGUGUGAAAGACCGGGGCUCAACUCCGGGGUUGCACUUGAAACUGGGUUGCUUGAGGGCAGGAGAGGAAAGCAGAAUUCCUGGUGUAGCGGUGAAAUGCGUAGAAAUCAGGAGGAAUACCAGUGGCGAAGGCGGCUUUCUGGACUGACCCUGACGCUGAGGUGCGAAAGCGUGGGUAGCAAACAGGAUUAGAAACCCCAGUAGUCC
RNAcentral lists this ribosomal RNA (451 nucleotides) under uncultured bacterium. RNAcentral's name for it is "partial 16S ribosomal RNA". It matches the Rfam family "Bacterial small subunit ribosomal RNA", at positions 354 to 796 of the family's 1533-position model. The record is from RNAcentral.